This 227-nucleotide unclassified non-coding RNA is filed under the name uncultured fungus. Its description in RNAcentral is "sequence contains ITS1". The record is from RNAcentral. Lineage: Eukaryota; Fungi.
GUAUAAGUUUAUCAACGCUUUUUUAGGGCGAGGAUAUCGAUUCACAUUCUAUUGGACAUACUAUGGGUUGAUGAUAAGACAUAGGUCACCUUUUCAAGGGUGACCUACAUUAAGUGCACAGGUGUAAAGUGGAUUAAGGGCUCGGGCGUGCACAUGCCCCGAAAGGCCAGCUACAACCCUCACCAAUAAUUUCAAUAAUGAUCCUUCCGCAGGUUCACCUACGGAAA